AUCCAGUCCCAGGACAUCUCAAAGCUCUGCAGAAAGAACUUGAGCAAUUUGCCAAGCUCCUGAAGCAGAAGAGGAUCACCCUGGGAUAUGCACAGGCUGAUGUGGGGCUUACCCUGGGGGUUCUAUUUGGGAAUAUGUUCAGCCAAACGACCAUCUGCCUCUUUGAGGCUCAACAGCUUAGCUUCAAGAACAUGUGUAAGCGGCGCGGCCCUUGCUGCAGAAGUGGGUGGAGGAAGCCGACAACAAUGAAAAUAUUCAGGAGAUAUGCAAAGCCGAAACCCUCGUGCAGGCCUGAAAGAGAAAGCGAACCAGUAUUGAGAACCUGGAGAAUGUGUUCCUGCAGCGCCUGAAGCCCACACUGCAGCAGAUCAGUCACAUUGCCCAGCAGCUUGGGCUCUAGAAGGAUGUGAUCCGAGUGUGGUUCUGUAAUUGGCGCCAGAAGGGCAAGCAAUCAAGCAGUGAUUAUGCACCAUGAGAGGAUUUUGAGGCUGCUGGGUCUCCUUUCUCAGGGGCACCAGUGUCCUUUCCUAUGGCCUCAGGGCCCCAUUUUGGUGCCCCAGGCUCCCAUUUUGGUACCCCAGGCUAUGGGAGCCCUCAUUGCACUGCACUGCACUGUGUUCCUUAGUGCCUUUCCCCCUGUUUCUGUCGCCACUCUGGGCUCUCCCAUGCAUUCAAACUGAGGUGCCUGCCCUUCUAGGAAUGGGAUACAGGGAGAGGGCGGAAGCUAGGGAAAGAGAACCCGGAGUUUGUGCCAGGGCUUUUGGGAUUAAGUUCUUCAUUCAGUAAGGAAGGAAUUGGGAACACAAAGGGUGGGGGCAGGGGAGUUUGGGGCAACUGGUUGGAGGGAAGGUGAAGUUCGGUGAUGCUCUUGAUUUUAAUCCCCAUAUCAUGUAUCACUUUUUUCUCAAAUGAAGAAGACUGGGACACAGUAGGUAGA
Homo sapiens (human) is the source of this 937-nucleotide RNA transcript. It is a transcript of the gene named POU class 5 homeobox 1 pseudogene 5, with no coding region annotated. The transcript has a single exon. Lineage: Eukaryota; Metazoa; Chordata; Mammalia; Primates; Hominidae. The record is from RefSeq and is marked validated.